GCUGGCUCGCCUGAGCGAGUGUGUCUGACCCUGUUCGACGUGCCCGAGACCGGCGACCUGACGCUGACGUUCAGGAGAAGUGAGAGUAGCCCGACGUUCGCACAGCACACCCAGCAGGUGUCGGGCGUGGCGGGUGGGUCCAAGGAAACAUGCUUUGAGGUUCAAACACCAGAGCUUGACGAUUUCACCAUGUGGAUGGGUCUGGAAGUUACUUACCCAUCCGCCGUCAACUACACCAUCUCGGGAAAUCAGUACAUCUCUGUCUUCUCGAACAACGCGCCUGAAGAUCAUGUCUUCAUUCAGACAGACAAGUACGUGUACAAGCCGGGACAGGUGGUCCGCUUCCGCGUCCUCUCCGUCAACGGGAAACUGAGGCCGAUUUCGGAG
This is a long non-coding RNA of Pollicipes pollicipes, 387 nucleotides long. RefSeq lists it as uncharacterized. The transcript is spliced from 3 exons. NCBI's taxonomy places the organism in Eukaryota, Metazoa, Arthropoda, Thecostraca, Pollicipedomorpha, Pollicipedidae. The record is from RefSeq and is a predicted model, not a curated record.